GGUACGGGUUGUGAGAGCAAGAGCCCGGAGAUGGAUUCUGAGACACGAAUCCAGGCCCUACGGGGUGCAGCAGGCGCGAAAACUUUACAAUGCUGGCAACAGCGAUAAGGGAACCUCGAGUGCCAGGUUACAAAUCUGGCUGUCGAGAUGCCUAAAAAGCAUUUCAUAGCAAGGGCCGGGCAAGACCGGUGCCAGCCGCCGCGGUAACACCGGCGGCUCGAGUGGUAACCGUUAUUAUUGGGUCUAAAGGGUCUGUAGCCGGCCGGAUAAGUCUCUUGAGAAAUCUGGCAGCUUAACUGUCAGGCUUUCAGGAGAUACUGUCUGGCUCGAGGCCGGGAGAGGUGAGAGGUACUUCAGGGGUAGGGGUGAAAUCUUGUAAUCCUUGAAGGACCACCAGUGGCGAAGGCGUCUCACCAGAACGGACCUGACGGCAAGGGACGAAAGCUAGGGGCACGAACCGGAUUAGAUACCCGGGUAGUCCUAGCCGUAAACGAUACUCGUUAGGUGUCGGCCACGGUGCGACCGUUGUCGGUGCCGUAGGGAAGCCGUGAAGCGAG
RNAcentral lists this ribosomal RNA (557 nucleotides) under uncultured archaeon. RNAcentral describes it as "bacterial SSU rRNA". It matches the Rfam family "Archaeal small subunit ribosomal RNA", at positions 266 to 823 of the family's 1478-position model. The record is from RNAcentral.